Small nuclear RNA from Arabis alpina (gray rockcress), 95 nucleotides. The record is from Rfam. Lineage: Eukaryota; Viridiplantae; Streptophyta; Magnoliopsida; Brassicales; Brassicaceae.
GUCCCUUCGGAGACAUCCGAUAAAAUUGAACAAUAGGAAGAAGAUUAGCAUGGUUUAUGCGCAAAGAUAAACGUCGAGAAAUAGUCCAAACUUUU